CCUCAGUAACGGCGAGUGAAGCGGCAACAGCUCAAAUUUGAAAUCUGGCCGUGCGGCGGUCCGAGUUGUAAUUUGGAGAGGAUGCUUCGGGUGCGGCGCCGGUCUAAGUUCCUCGGAACAGGGCGUCAUAGAGGGUGAGAAUCCCGUAUGUGACCGGUGACCCAGCCCGUGUGAAGCUCCUUCGACGAGUCGAGUUGUUUGGGAAUGCAGCUCUAAAUGGGUGGUAAAUUUCAUCUAAAGCUAAAUACCGGCCAGAGACCGAUAGCGCACAAGUAGAGUGAUCGAAAGAUGAAAAGCACUUUGGAAAGAGAGUUAAAAAGUACGUGAAAUUGUUGAAAGGGAAGCGCUUGCAACCAGACUUGCUCACGGGUGAUCAGCCGUCCUUCUGGGCGGUGCACUCGCCCGCGAGCAGGCCAGCAUCGGUCUGGGCGGCCGGAUAAAGGCCCCGGGAAUGUGCCUCCCCCCGGGGAGUGUUAUAGCCCGGGGCGCAAUGCGGCCAGCCCGGACCGAGGACCGCGCUUCGGCUAGGAUGCUGGCGUAAUGGUUGCAAGCGACCCGUCUUGAAACACGGACCAAGGAGUCUAACAUCUAUGCGAGUGUUUGGGUGUCAAACCCACACGCGUAAUGAAAGUGAACGGAGGUGGGAACCCUCUAGGGUGCACCAUCGACCGAUCCUGAUGUCUUCGGAUGGAUUUGAGUAAGAGCAUAGCUGUUGGGACCCGAAAGAUGGUGAACUAUGCCUGAAUAGGGUGAAGCCAGAGGAAACUCUGGUGGAGGCUCGCAGCGGUUCUGACGUGCAAAUCGAUCGUCAAAUUUGGGUAUAGGGGCGAAAG
This 833-nucleotide ribosomal RNA is filed under the name Umbilicaria vellea. RNAcentral describes it as "partial large subunit ribosomal RNA". It matches the Rfam family "Eukaryotic large subunit ribosomal RNA", at positions 78 to 929 of the family's 3401-position model. Lineage: Eukaryota; Fungi; Ascomycota; Lecanoromycetes; Umbilicariales; Umbilicariaceae. The record is from RNAcentral.